GAUGGCAUAUUCAAGCUCAACAGACCAAAUCACCGGUCUCUCUCUGGAUCUACUCUGGGAUUGAUUUGUAUGCCGAUUUUCCCGCUGAACCGAGCCAUG
RNAcentral lists this small nucleolar RNA (99 nucleotides) under Oryza nivara. Its description in RNAcentral is "Small nucleolar RNA Z107/R87". It matches the Rfam family "Small nucleolar RNA Z107/R87". From Rfam's summary of the family: Z107 and R87 are members of the C/D class of snoRNA which contain the C (UGAUGA) and D (CUGA) box motifs. Most of the members of the box C/D family function in directing site-specific 2'-O-methylation of substrate RNA Lineage: Eukaryota; Viridiplantae; Streptophyta; Magnoliopsida; Poales; Poaceae. The record is from Rfam by way of RNAcentral.